AGUGAACGCUGGCGGUAGGCCUAACACAUGCAAGUCGAACGGCAGCACAGUAGGAGCUUGCUCUUACGGGUGGCGAGUGGCGGACGGGUGAGGAAUACAUCGGAAUCUACUUUUUCGUGGGGGAUAACGUAGGGAAACUUACGCUAAUACCGCAUACGACCUACGGGUGAAAGCAGGGGAUCUUCGGACCUUGCGCGAUUGAAUGAGCCGAUGUCGGAUUAGCUAGUUGGCGGGGUAAAGGCCCACCAAGGCGACGAUCCGUAGCUGGUCUGAGAGGAUGAUCAGCCACACUGGAACUGAGACACGGUCUAGACUCCUACGGGAGGCAGCAGUGGGGAAUAUUGGACAAUGGGCGCAAGCCUGAUCCAGCCAUACCGCGUGGGUGAAGAAGGCCUUCGGGUUGUAAAGCCCUUUUGUUGGGAAAGAAAAGCAGCAGGUUAAUACCCCGCUGUUCUGACGGUACCCAAAGAAUAAGCACCGGCUAACUUCGUG
RNAcentral lists this ribosomal RNA (492 nucleotides) under uncultured bacterium. Its description in RNAcentral is "partial 16S ribosomal RNA". It matches the Rfam family "Bacterial small subunit ribosomal RNA", at positions 29 to 507 of the family's 1533-position model. The record is from RNAcentral.